Molecule: ribosomal RNA, 1442 nt
Filed under: uncultured organism
Description: SSU rRNA
Rfam family: Bacterial small subunit ribosomal RNA
Source: RNAcentral
GCUAGCUACAGGCUUAACACAUGCAAGUCGAGGGGCAGCAUGGUCUUAGCUUGCUAAGGCCGAUGGCGACCGGCGCACGGGUGAGUAACACGUAUCCAACCUGCCGUCUACUCUUGGACAGCCUUCUGAAAGGAAGAUUAAUACAAGAUGGCAUCAUGAGUCCACAUGUUCACAUGAUUAAAGGUAUUCCGGUAGACGAUGGGGAUGCGUUCCAUUAGAUAGUAGGCGGGGUAACGGCCCACCUAGUCUUCGAUGGAUAGGGGUUCUGAGAGGAAGGUCCCCCACAUUGGAACUGAGACACGGUCCAAACUCCUACGGGAGGCAGCAGUGAGGAAUAUUGGUCAAUGGGCGAGAGCCUGAACCAGCCAAGUAGCGUGAAGGAUGACUGCCCUAUGGGUUGUAAACUUCUUUUAUAAAGGAAUAAAGUCGGGUAUGCAUACCCGUUUGCAUGUACUUUAUGAAUAAGGAUCGGCUAACUCCGUGCCAGCAGCCGCGGUAAUACGGAGGAUCCGAGCGUUAUCCGGAUUUAUUGGGUUUAAAGGGAGCGUAGAUGGAUGUUUAAGUCAGUUGUGAAAGUUUGCGGCUCAACCGUAAAAUUGCAGUUGAUACUGGAUAUCUUGAGUGCAGUUGAGGCAGGCGGAAUUCGUGGUGUAGCGGUGAAAUGCUUAGAUAUCACGAAGAACUCCGAUUGCGAAGGCAGCCUGCUAAGCUGCAACUGACAUUGAGGCUCGAAAGUGUGGGUAUCAAACAGGAUUAGAUACCCUGGUAGUCCACACGGUAAACGAUGAAUACUCGCUGUUUGCGAUAUACGGCAAGCGGCCAAGCGAAAGCGUUAAGUAUUCCACCUGGGGAGUACGCCGGCAACGGUGAAACUCAAAGGAAUUGACGGGGGCCCGCACAAGCGGAGGAACAUGUGGUUUAAUUCGAUGAUACGCGAGGAACCUUACCCGGGCUUAAAUUGCAGAUGAAUUACGGUGAAAGCCGUAAGCCGCAAGGCAUCUGUGAAGGUGCUGCAUGGUUGUCGUCAGCUCGUGCCGUGAGGUGUCGGCUUAAGUGCCAUAACGAGCGCAACCCUUGUUGUCAGUUACUAACAGGUUCCGCUGAGGACUCUGACAAGACUGCCAUCGUAAGAUGUGAGGAAGGUGGGGAUGACGUCAAAUCAGCACGGCCCUUACGUCCGGGGCUACACACGUGUUACAAUGGGGGGUACAGAGGGCCGCUACCACGCGAGUGGAUGCCAAUCCCCAAAACCUCUCUCAGUUCGGACUGGAGUCUGCAACCCGACUCCACGAAGCUGGAUUCGCUAGUAAUCGCGCAUCAGCCACGGCGCGGUGAAUACGUUCCCGGGCCUUGUACACACCGCCCGUCAAGCCAUGGGAGCCGGGGGUACCUGAAGUGCGUAACCGCGAGGAGCGCCCUAGGGUAAAACUGGUGACUGGGGC